CUAAAUCAAAAGGAAAGACAACAAUUGAUCCUGUAGAGGCAAUUGAUGAUGCAUAGAUUUGAGACGAUGAUAGUGAGACAUUCGAACCGAUGAUAGUGAGAUAUUUGAAUCCUCAGAUCUUGGAUUGUCUAGAUCAUCUCAUGAUAAUAGCAAUGAUGAUAGUAAUAAUAGCAAGAGUGCUGAUGGAUUUGAUGAUCAUGAUGGUU
This 206-nucleotide long non-coding RNA is filed under the name Elaeis guineensis (African oil palm). RNAcentral describes it as "long non-coding RNA (EGUI_LNC036327)". Lineage: Eukaryota; Viridiplantae; Streptophyta; Magnoliopsida; Arecales; Arecaceae. The record is from RNAcentral.